CCUACGGGAGGCAGCAGUGAGGAAUAUUGGUCAAUGGCCGCAGGGCUGAACCAGCCAAGUCGCGUGAGGGAUGACGGUCCUAUGGAUUGUACACCUCUUUUGUCAGGGAGCAAAGGGCGCCACGUGUGGCGCUUUGCGAGUACCUGAAGAAAAAGCAUCGGCUAACUCCGUGCCAGCCGCCGCGGUAAUACGGAGGAUGCGAUCGUUAUCCGGAUUUAUUGGGUUUAAAGGGUGCGUAGGCGGAAUGCCAAGUCAGCGGUAAAAUCGCGGGGCUCAACCUCGCUCCGCCGUUGAAACUGGCGUUCUUGAGUGGGCGAGAAGUAUGCGGAAUGCGUGGUGUAGCGGUGAAAUGCAUAGAUAUCACGCAGAACUCCGAUUGCGAAGGCAGCAUACCGGCGCCCAACUGACGCUGAAGCACGAAAGCGUGGGUAUCGAACAGGAUUAGAUACCCCUGUAGUC
Molecule: ribosomal RNA, 459 nt
Filed under: uncultured bacterium
Lineage: Bacteria
Description: partial 16S ribosomal RNA
Rfam family: Bacterial small subunit ribosomal RNA
Source: RNAcentral